GACGAACGCUGGCGGCGUGCCUAAUACAUGCAAGUAGAACGCACAGUUUAUACCGUAGCUUGCUACACCAUAGACUGUGAGUUGCGAACGGGUGAGUAACGCGUAGGUAACCUGCCUGGUAGCGGGGGAUAACUAUUGGAAACGAUAGCUAAUACCGCAUAAUAUUGAUUAUUGCAUGAUAAUUAAUUGAAAGGUGCAAUUGCACCACUACCAGAUGGACCUGCGUUGUAUUAGCUAGUAGGUGAGGUAACGGCUCACCUAGGCGACGAUCCAUAGCCGACCUGAGAGGGUGAUCGGCCACACUGGGACUGAGACACGGCCCAGACUCCUACGGGAGGCAGCAGUAGGGAAUCUUCGGCAAUGGACGAAAGUCUGACCGAGAAACGCCGCGGGAGUGAAGAAGGUUUUCGGAUCGUAAAGCUCUGUUGUAAGAGAAGAACGGGUGUGAGAGUGGAAAGUUCACACUGUGACGGUAGCUUACCAGAAAGGGACGGCUAACUACGUG
Molecule: ribosomal RNA, 505 nt
Filed under: uncultured bacterium
Lineage: Bacteria
Description: partial 16S ribosomal RNA
Rfam family: Bacterial small subunit ribosomal RNA
Source: RNAcentral